AGAAACAAAACAACCAUGGACCCUGAACUGAUCCAGCACGUGAAAUCCAUCUAGAGUCUAUAAGACAGAACUCCUGGACAUUUUUUUAUGUGGCCUAUGUACUUUAUUCAGAUUUCCAAGCAUGUUCAGAGACUGUGCUGAGAUCCAGUGUAAGAUUUUGAAAAAGGAUGCACCAGGGCUAGAAAAUGAGCCAGAGCCUGCCUGUCAGCCCUACACAAGGAGGAGCAAGGAGUUAUCAGUGUAUCCACACAAACAGAUCUCAACACAUCUAAAACAAGGAAGAUGGGAGCCCUGUGCUGAGGCAGCUGAUGAAGACAUGACAGGCAUCAGCACUGCAUAUCUGAAUCUGGCCCCAACCUGCUGGGACAAAAUUGCUUGGCCAGGAGAAAGAUGGAGUGGAAAUGUGGUGGGAAGACGUGUCAAUAAGGAGUAACAGGAAACAAUAAAUGACCUGGUGCACGAGGCUAGCCAUUUCUGAACUACAUCUCCAAAAGGAAAAAAAUCCUAUCUGAAGAGAACUACAACUUACUGGACAGGAACAUGUGAGUUCAGGGAACCAGGUGUAACUACUGUGUUGUGUUUUCUGCCCAUUUUUACAUGUCAGAGAGCUCCUCUUUAAAUAAAUUUACAAACCAAGAGGUUGUGUUUCUACCU
This 654-nucleotide long non-coding RNA is filed under the name Numida meleagris (helmeted guineafowl). Its description in RNAcentral is "lncRNA (ENSNMEG00000009660.1)". The record is from RNAcentral. Lineage: Eukaryota; Metazoa; Chordata; Aves; Galliformes; Numididae.